UAGAGUUUGAUCCUGGCUCAGGAUGAACGUUGGCGGCGUGCCUAACACAUGCAAGUCGAACGAAAGUAGCAAUACUUUAGUGGCGCACGGGUGAGUAACACGUAGCUUAGCUCCCUCUCAGCGCGGGAUAACGACUCNAAAGAGUUGCUAAUACCGCAUAANCUCACGGUUUCUAAAAAAUUGUGAGAAAAGGCGUANNUCACUGAAAGACGGGNCUGCGGCCCAUCAGCUAGUUGNUGUGGUANAGGCCCACAAGGCNACAACGGGUANGGGACCUGNGAGGGUGACCCCCCACNCUGGNNACUGAAACACGCCCAAACUCCUACNGGAAGGCCNAUUGAGGAAUUUUGCACAAUGGGCGCGACCCUGAUGCAACGACCCCCGGUGGNUGAAGAACGUCUUCNGAAUGNUAAGGCCGUUUUCUGCGUGACGNGNAAGGGCGGUAGCGCCGGAAUAGAGCUCCGCUAGGUACAUNCCGACAGCGGGCGUGAGAAGCGGGG
RNAcentral lists this ribosomal RNA (500 nucleotides) under uncultured Chloroflexota bacterium. Its description in RNAcentral is "uncultured Chloroflexi bacterium partial 16S ribosomal RNA". It matches the Rfam family "Bacterial small subunit ribosomal RNA", at positions 1 to 532 of the family's 1533-position model. Lineage: Bacteria; Bacillati; Chloroflexota. The record is from RNAcentral.